This 531-nucleotide ribosomal RNA is filed under the name uncultured beta proteobacterium. RNAcentral's name for it is "bacterial SSU rRNA". It matches the Rfam family "Bacterial small subunit ribosomal RNA", at positions 530 to 1059 of the family's 1533-position model. Lineage: Bacteria; Pseudomonadati; Pseudomonadota; Betaproteobacteria. The record is from RNAcentral.
GGGUGCGAGCGUUAAUCGGAAUUACUGGGCGUAAAGCGUGCGCAGGCGGCUUCUUAAGCCAGACGUGAAAUCCCCGGGCUUAACCUGGGAACUGCGUUUGGAACUGGAAAGCUAGAGUGUGUCAGAGGGGGGUGGAAUUCCGCGUGUAGCAGUGAAAUGCGUAGAUAUGCGGAGGAACACCGAUGGCGAAGGCAGCCCCCUGGGAUAACACUGACGCCCAUGCACGAAGGCGUGGGGAGCAAACAGGAUUAGAUACCCUGGUAGUCCACGCCCUAAACGAUGUCAACUGGCUGUUGGGAGAGAAAUCUUUCAGUAGCGAAGCUAACGCGUGAAGUUGACCGCCUGGGGAGUACGGCCGCAAGGUUGAAACUCACAGGAAUUGACGGGGGCCCGCACAAGCGGUGGAUGAUGUGGAUUAAUUCGAUGCAACGCGAAGAACCUUACCUACCCUUGACAUGCCAGGAACUUUCCAGAGAUGGAUUGGUGCCCGCAAGGGAACCUGGACACAGGUGCUGCAUGGCUGUCGUCAGC